This 161-nucleotide ribosomal RNA is filed under the name uncultured bacterium. Its description in RNAcentral is "partial 16S rRNA". It matches the Rfam family "Bacterial small subunit ribosomal RNA", at positions 355 to 507 of the family's 1533-position model. The record is from RNAcentral.
UAGGGAAUCUUCCGCAAUGGGCGCAAGCCUGACGGAGCGACGCCGCGUGAGUGAUGAAGGCCUUCGGGUCGUAAAGCUCUGUUCUUGAGGACGAAUAAGCCAGGGAGUGNAAAGCCCUGGUGAUGACUGUACUCAAGGAGAAAGCUCCGGCUAACUACGUG